CGCCUAACACAUGCAAGUCGAACGAAGUAGCAAUACUUAGUGGCAGACGGGUGAGUAACAUGUAGGUAUCUGCCCUUUGGCCUGGAAUAACACGAGGAAACUUGUGCUAAUACCGGAUAAGUCUUUACGGAGAAAGCUUUAUGCACCAUUGGAUGAGCCUGCACUUGAUUAGUUUGUUGGUGGGGUAAUGGCCUACCAAGACUGUGAUCAAUAGCUGAUUUGAGAGGAUGAUCAGCCACAUUGGGACUGAGACACGGCCCAAACUCCUACGGGAGGCAGCAGUGGGGAAUCUUGCACAAUGGAGGAAACUCUGAUGCAGCGAUGCCGCGUGAGUGAAGAAGGCCCUUGGGUUGUAAAGCUCUUUCGUCGGGGAAGAAAAUGACUGUACCCGAAUAAGAAGGUCCGGCUAACUUCGUGCCAGCAGCCGCGGUAAUACGAAGGGACCUAGCGUAGUUCGGAAUUACUGGGCUUAAAGAGUUCGUAGGUUGUUGAAAUAGUUGGUGGUGAAAUCCCAGAGCUUAACUCUGGAACUGCCAUCAAAACUUUUUAGCUAGAGUAUGAUAGAGGAAAGCAGAAUUUCUAGUGUAGAGGUGAAAUUCGUAGAUAUUAGAAAGAAUACCAAUUGCGAAGGCAGCUUUCUGGAUCAUUACUGACACUGAGGAACGAAAGCAUGGGUAGCGAAGAGGAUUAGAUACCCUCGUAGUCCAUGCCGUAAACGAUGUGUGUUAGACGUUGGAAAUUUAUUUUCAGUGUCGCAGGGAAACCGAUAAACACACCGCCUGGGGAGUACGACCG
RNAcentral lists this ribosomal RNA (795 nucleotides) under uncultured Pelagibacteraceae bacterium. RNAcentral's name for it is "bacterial SSU rRNA". It matches the Rfam family "Bacterial small subunit ribosomal RNA", at positions 45 to 888 of the family's 1533-position model. Lineage: Bacteria; Pseudomonadati; Pseudomonadota; Alphaproteobacteria; Candidatus Pelagibacterales; Candidatus Pelagibacteraceae. The record is from RNAcentral.